GCGUGUAGGCGGACCUAUAAGUCUAUUCUGAAAGCUCCUGGCUAAACUGGGAGAGGCGAAUGGAGACUGUAGAUCUAGAGUGAGGAAGAGGAAAGUGGAAUUCCGCGUGUAGUGGUGAAAUGCGUAGAGAUGCGGAGGAACACCAGUGGCGAAAGCGACUUUCUGGUCCUUAACUGACGCUGAGGCGCGAAAGCAUGGGGAGCGAACGGGAUUAGAAACCCCGGUAGUCCAUGCCAUAAACGAUGUUCACUAAACGUUCGAUCUCCGCGAGGAGAAUGGGUGUUGAAGCUAACGCAGUAAGUGAACCGCCUGGGGAGUACGGUCGCAAGGCUAAAACUCAAAGGAAUUGACGGGGGACCGCACAAGCAGCGGAGCGUGUGGUUUAAUUCGAGGCUACACGAAGAACCUUACCUAGGUUUGACAUCUUACUGAAGUCUGCGUGAAAGCGUGGAUGUCCCGCAAGGGACAGUAGGACAGGUGCUGCAUGGCUGUCGUCAGCUCGUGCCGUGAGGUGUUCGGUUAAGUCCGCAAACGAGCGCAACCCUCGGUGCCAGUU
This 556-nucleotide ribosomal RNA is filed under the name uncultured bacterium. RNAcentral describes it as "bacterial SSU rRNA". It matches the Rfam family "Bacterial small subunit ribosomal RNA", at positions 567 to 1116 of the family's 1533-position model. The record is from RNAcentral.